Molecule: long non-coding RNA, 341 nt
Filed under: Pan troglodytes (chimpanzee)
Lineage: Eukaryota; Metazoa; Chordata; Mammalia; Primates; Hominidae
Description: long non-coding RNA NONPTRT010363
Source: RNAcentral
GGACAGGCUUCUAGACCUCAUCCUCGUGUUUAACUCCUUUAUUUGACGUAUGGGGAAACUGAGGCCCAAGAAGGUAAAGGACCCUCCAAUUAAUAUUGUUGCUCAAGACUCAUAUUUUUUCUAGAUUCACUUUUUUUCAGUAAUCAAAAAAAAGCAAAUCACUUUCUUUUGAUAAAAUAUCUCUAAGUUUCAGGAUAUAUCAAUAGGUACACCCAAAACUGAAAGCAUGUAGAGGGAAGACUGAAAACAUCAGAACAGAAUUAUCACAGAACCGUGGAACCACUAGAAAAGGUGUAAAAUAUGUGUAAUGGGAAUACAAGAAGAAGAAAAAAACAACAGAA